RNAcentral lists this long non-coding RNA (610 nucleotides) under Cricetulus griseus (Chinese hamster). RNAcentral's name for it is "lncRNA (ENSCGRG00000025431.1)". The record is from RNAcentral. Lineage: Eukaryota; Metazoa; Chordata; Mammalia; Rodentia; Cricetidae.
UUGAGUGGUGAUUUUAUGCAAUGGCUUCAAGCCACAGAUCUUCUCCAGUGCCUCAAGGAAGCAGCAGUGACGUUUUCUUUAAAAAAGAGGUAGAUCCAGCAAAACACAUUCGACCUGUGCAGUCACUGCCAGAUGUGUGUCCUAAGGAACCCACAGGUGAUUCAAAUAGUUUAUGUGUUGCCCCAUCUCUAGUUACAGAUCAACAUAGAUGGACUGUAUAUCAUUCCAAAGUAAACCUCCCAGCAGCAUUAAAUGAUCCUACAUUAGCAAAAAGAGAAUCUGACUUCUUCACAAAAACAUGGGGAUUGGACUUUGUGGACACUGAAGUCAUACCUUCAUUCUACCUCCCACAGAUCAGCAAGGAACAUUUUAUAGCAUAUCAACAGGAAAUCUCUCAGAGAGAGAAGAUCCAUGAGAGAUGCAAGAAUAUUUGUCCUCCUAAAGAUACCUUUGACAGGACUCUUUUACAUAUUCAUGAUAAAUCCAGGACAGAUCUGGAACAAGUACCUAAGGGUUUUUAAAUCUGUUCUGUGAUUUCUUCAAUGACCCAGUGUCCUUCAUAAGUGUAUUGUUUAGUCUCCAAGUAUUGGUGAUCUUUCUGCAGUUUCUG